AUACAGAGGGUGCGAGCGUUAAUCGGAAUUACUGGGCGUAAAGCGCGCGUAGGCGGCUUAUUAAGUCAGAUGUGAAAUCCCCGGGCUCAACCUGGGAACUGCAUCUGAUACUGGUAAGCUAGAGUUUUGGAGAGGGAAGUAGAAUUUCAGGUGUAGCGGUGAAAUGCAUAGAGAUCUGAAGGAAUACCAGUGGCGAAGGCGACUUCCUGGCCAAAAACUGACGCUGAGGUGCGAAAGCGUGGGUAGCAAGCGGGAUUAGAAACCCCAGUAGUCC
This 274-nucleotide ribosomal RNA is filed under the name uncultured bacterium. Its description in RNAcentral is "partial 16S ribosomal RNA". It matches the Rfam family "Bacterial small subunit ribosomal RNA", at positions 523 to 796 of the family's 1533-position model. The record is from RNAcentral.